AUUGAACGCUGGCGGCAUGCUUUACACAUGCAAGUCGAACGGUAACAGCACUUCGGUGGCUGACGAGUGGCGAACGGGUGAGUAAUGUAUCGGAACGUGCCCAGUAGUGGGGGAUAACUACUCGAAAGAGUGGCUAAUACCGCAUGAGAUCUCUGGAUGAAAGCGGGGGACCGUAAGGCCUCGCGCUACUGGAGCGGCCGAUAUCAGAUUAGGUUGUUGGUGGGGUAAAGGCCUACCAAGCCUGCGAUCUGUAGCUGGUCUGAGAGGACGACCAGCCACACUGGGACUGAGACACGGACCAGACUCCUACGGGAGGCAGCAGUGAGGAAUAUUGGUCAAUGGGCGCAAGCCUGAACCAGCCAUCCCGCGUGCAGGAAGACGGCCCUAUGGGUUGUAAACUGCUUUUGCAGGGGAAGAAACUUCCGGUUGCGACCGGGACUGGCGGUACCCUGUGAAUAAGCAUCGGCUAACUCCGUGCCAGCAGCCGC
RNAcentral lists this ribosomal RNA (488 nucleotides) under uncultured bacterium. RNAcentral describes it as "bacterial SSU rRNA". It matches the Rfam family "Bacterial small subunit ribosomal RNA", at positions 30 to 518 of the family's 1533-position model. The record is from RNAcentral.